AACCUGCCCAAGAGAUCGGGAUAACACCUGGAAACAGAUGCUAAUACCGGAUAACAACAGAUGAUGCCUAUCAACUGUUUAAAAGAUGGUUCUGCUAUCACUCUUGGAUGGACCUGCGGUGCAUUAGCUAGUUGGUAGGGUAACGGCCUACCAAGGCGAUGAUGCAUAGCCGAGUUGAGAGACUGAUCGGCCACAUUGGGACUGAGACACGGCCCAAACUCCUACGGGAGGCAGCAGA
This 238-nucleotide ribosomal RNA is filed under the name uncultured Lactobacillus sp. RNAcentral describes it as "partial 16S ribosomal RNA". It matches the Rfam family "Bacterial small subunit ribosomal RNA", at positions 123 to 354 of the family's 1533-position model. The record is from RNAcentral. Lineage: Bacteria; Bacillati; Bacillota; Bacilli; Lactobacillales; Lactobacillaceae.